GCCAGUGGUAAAGCAUGUCCAAUGGCCAUUGAGGGUGGAAGAAGGGGCAGCGGGAAUGGGAGGUCUUCCUAAGAACACCCACAUCCCUCUAGAGCUACAUUCCCCUAUUUUGGCUUCUUUCUUCCCGUUCAUGUGUUGCGCUUAACUGAUGAGAUUUGGUGGUUCUUUUACCUGCUUCACACUUUUUACGUAUCUAUAAACGCAGACAGUGGCAGUGAAGGUGUUGACUCAGGCUGGCUCGGUCCCGACGCCAGAUGAUGGAAGUCACGUCUCACUCGCCUUUGCACGAUUGUGACCUCUUGAAGGCAGAGACUGAAUGUACCCAUGCUUUUCUUUUUAUCCUCCACAACCAAGCCUUCUACACAAUAGACUCUCAGUAUUUAUUGAUUGUUUACUGGGUUCUGGAGGAGAAAUGGGGGCCAAUCUGCAGCAGUUGCGUGCACCAUGACAACGUCCUUAGACUUUGUAAUAAAGAGUGGAGAAGGAUGGACAAGCUCUUUUAGCAGGUUUGGUCAAGGAGACCUGUCUGAAAAGUGACAAGCUGAGAGCUGGAUGAUGAGAACGUUAUAUGGAUUAAGGAAGAAAAAAAAACAAAGACCCCCCCAAAAGAACUACAACAAUCAUUAAAGAAGAAAAGCAAUAUAAAAUUCAGCACUGAAAGCAGGAAGGUAGCUGCACUAUCUGAAAGUCUGACUCACUCAUUUUCUGUCUCCAGAAAGGAAAUUGAAGCCCAGAGAGGUAAACAGACUUACCUAUGGUCACACAGCUAGGUAGUAACCUAGCUGGGAACAGACUUAACCUCCUAACUUCCAACUCCACACCCUGCUGAGAACCCUGAUGUUGGCCAUGAGACCUUGCACAUUUAAAAUGAUGCUGAGAGUGGAGGAGAACAAUAAGUGAACUCAGGAAGACAUGAUGGCUUCUGCAAUGACACUCAUAGAUGAAAUACAGAAUCCAGCUCCAACACUUAGGAUUGGAAACUAAGCACAAACAAGUGGACAACGGUUGGGACACAAGUUAUCUCAAAGGCUUCCUCACAUGUCUGGAAGUUGGUGUUGGCUGUCAACUGGGACCUUAGCUUAGCUGUGUGUCAGGCCAUCUAGUCAUGGUCUGUCCAUGUGACCUGAACUUCCCCAUAGGAAAUGAACUGUGUUCCCAGAGGGGGAGACUCAAGAGAAUGAGGCAAACACUGUAUCACCUUUUAUGACCUACUCUUAGAAGUCACAUAGUGCCACAGCAUAGUCCCAUCAUGGUCACAGGCCACACCAGAUUCGAGAGGAGAUAAUAUAGACACAUUCCUCCAAGGGAGGAGAAUCAACAUCAAUUUGUAAGAGGGGCAUGGGAGAUGGGAUAUAUAUUGUGGUGGUUAUCUUGGAAAGAUACGGGCUUCCACACUGGUUACAAUGGACUUGGGAAGAGCUUGGAUCUUGGAAGAAGCUGGAUGAGGUCCUAUAGCCAGUAUUGAGUGCCCCCUAGAGGGCUGGAAGGACAGUGCAGGACCCAGACGCCAAGCAGUUCCUUCUUAGGUUCAACAGGUGUUCAGUGGGUACUUCUCAUGUGACAGAAACUGGGGGUACAGCAGUGAGCAAGAGACAAGUCCCCAGCCUUUAUGAAGUGUAUGUCCUGGUGAGAACGUAAUGAACAACUGCCCAAGUAAAUACAGAAGUGCCAUGAGGAAUUCUAACACCGGGUUCCUGGCCUAGACUCAGCACCAAGAAAAGAGCGGGAGAAAAUGUCCCUGGCGCCCCAGGUGCAUGCCCUUUUCCAGAACCUGCCUGUAGUUCCAGAAGCUAUGGACUCAGGCCCUCACCUGGAAAGUGGCACUUCCGGUCAGCUCUUCCUCCUUUCCUGCCAGGAUGGAGGACCAGCAGCCUGCUCCUUAACCUAGAACAAUGCCCAGCCCUUCAGAGAUCUAGUGGAUGCCUAAAUUAGACUUAAAUUAUUUUUAUUAAUGUUAUUUAAAUUUGUACAAAAAAACAGAUAUUAAACCAUUUUCUUUUAGUGCUUACAUAAGACUAAAACACAUUUAGGUCACAGAACCAGUAAAGUUAGAAUUAAUAAUAUUAAUGAAACAUGAUAUGAUAUUGUUUUCCUAAAACCAAGUCUCUAUUCAAAACAUAAUGUCCUAACUGUCCAAGCCCAGCUCUUUCCCAUUCAGCCCAUCCGUGUCACCCUGGGCCAGGAGCAGACAUCCUCUCUUUGUGAGCUCAGCUUUUCUCUUUUCCUACCACUUCUAAACUAACUUUUGGAUAAAAUGCACUCUGUCGUGUUUUACCUUCCAGCAGAUGCAAACAUAUUUAUAUGUUAAGUCCACCUGUUUCUCAUUAGAGGAAAAUAAACAAAGUCGCUCUACUUGGCAUUACUGUGAUCCCAGGUGUAAACGUGGGGGCCGCAGUUAUGCACUGACUGUGGGUUAUACUUUGGAUAAUCACAUAAUUUAGAGUGUAUUCACUUAUAAGGGUAUGUAUUAUAUUAGAAUAUAUGCACU
Molecule: long non-coding RNA, 2488 nt
Organism: Phacochoerus africanus (Common warthog)
Lineage: Eukaryota; Metazoa; Chordata; Mammalia; Artiodactyla; Suidae
Exons: 7
Source: RefSeq, a predicted model, not a curated record